CUAUAACGGUCCUAAGGUAGCGAAAUUCCUUGUCGGGUAAGUUCCGACCCGCACGAAAGGCGUAACGAUUUGUGCACUGUCUCAACGAGAGACUCGGUGAAAUUUUAGUACCUGUGAAGAUGCAGGUUACCCGCGACAGGACGGAUAGACCCCAUGGAGCUUUACUGUAGUGUGUGAUUGAGUGUUUGUACCACAUGUACAGGAGAGGUAGGCGCCGAAGCGGCCGGAA
This 229-nucleotide ribosomal RNA is filed under the name Enterococcus faecalis. RNAcentral describes it as "partial 23S ribosomal RNA". It matches the Rfam family "Bacterial large subunit ribosomal RNA", at positions 1940 to 2168 of the family's 2925-position model. The record is from RNAcentral. Lineage: Bacteria; Bacillati; Bacillota; Bacilli; Lactobacillales; Enterococcaceae.